CCUACGGGAGGCAGCAGUGAGGAAUAUUGGUCAAUGGGCGCGAGCCUGAACCAGCCAAGUCGCGUGAAGGAUGAAGGAUCUAUGGUUUGUAAACUUCUUUUAUAUGGGAAUAAAGGGAGGAACGUGUUCCUUUUUGUAUGUACCAUAUGAAUAAGCAUCGCCUAACUUCUUGCCAGCAGAGGCGGUAAUACGGAGGAUGCGAGCGUUAUCCGGAUUUAUUGGGUUUAAAGGGUGCGUAGGUGGUUAAUUAAGUCAGAUGUGAAAGUUUGUGGCUCAAACAUAAAAUUGCCGUUGAAACUGGUUGACUUGAGUAUAUUAGAGGAAGGCGGAAUGCGUGGUGUAGCGGUGAAAUGCAUAGAUAUCACGAAGAACUCCGAUUGCGAAGGCAGCUCACUAAACUAUAACUGACACUGAAGCACGAAAGCGUGGGGAGCAAACAGGAUUAGAUACCCGAGUAGUC
RNAcentral lists this ribosomal RNA (460 nucleotides) under uncultured bacterium. Its description in RNAcentral is "partial 16S ribosomal RNA". It matches the Rfam family "Bacterial small subunit ribosomal RNA", at positions 338 to 795 of the family's 1533-position model. The record is from RNAcentral.